This 253-nucleotide long non-coding RNA is filed under the name Rattus norvegicus (Norway rat). RNAcentral describes it as "long non-coding RNA NONRATT002873". The record is from RNAcentral. Lineage: Eukaryota; Metazoa; Chordata; Mammalia; Rodentia; Muridae.
AACCUCUUCCCAAGUCCCCAACCCACCUCCCCUUGAGAAAAACUGGACAUGGGGAGGGGAGCCGGCCAGAGGAGGACCCUUUUCUGUGGCAUUAGAUGGGGGAGGGACAGCUGGGGUUCCCCCACCCAUCCCACCUCCCUCUAAACUUGACAACCCCCAAUCAGUGUUUGAGCCUCCUCGUUCCCUUGGCACCCCUGGUGAAUCCUUGGUGAUGAUUUUGGCAACUUCGGGAAUAAAUGACAAUUCUCAUGGA